CUCUUAUCCAGAGUGGUGGAGGGAACGGCCCGACGAAGCCCGGCAACCGACGGAUCGCACGGUCCGCGCGGUGCCAAUUCCGGCAGCGGCGUUGCCGCUGAGAGAUGAGAG
This 111-nucleotide non-coding RNA is filed under the name Sphaerobacter thermophilus. RNAcentral describes it as "SAM-I sequence". It matches the Rfam family "SAM riboswitch aptamer (S box leader)". From Rfam's summary of the family: The SAM riboswitch is found upstream of a number of genes which code for proteins involved in methionine or cysteine biosynthesis in Gram-positive bacteria. Lineage: Bacteria; Pseudomonadati; Thermomicrobiota; Thermomicrobia; Sphaerobacterales; Sphaerobacteraceae. RNAcentral also lists the same sequence under 1 other name. The record is from RNAcentral.